Molecule: small nuclear RNA, 104 nt
Organism: Mastomys coucha (southern multimammate mouse)
Lineage: Eukaryota; Metazoa; Chordata; Mammalia; Rodentia; Muridae
Source: RefSeq, a predicted model, not a curated record
GCUUGCUUCAGCCACACAAAUACUAAAACUGGAACAGUAUAAAGGAGAUGACAUGGCCCCUGUGCAAGAAUGACGCACGAACCCUCAAAGUGUUCUAUAUUUCU